This is a ribosomal RNA of Oreochromis aureus, 119 nucleotides long. The record is from Ensembl. Lineage: Eukaryota; Metazoa; Chordata; Actinopteri; Cichliformes; Cichlidae.
GCUUAUAGCCGUACCACCCCGAGGACACCCAAUCCCGUCUGAUCUCAGACGCUAAGGAGGGUCGGGCCUGCUUAGUAUUUGGGUGGGAGACCGCCUGGGAACAUCAGGUACUGUAAGCU